GGGUGCGACAAUACCGGCACUAACGCACCGGAUCCCAUUAGAACUCCAAAGUUAAGCGUGCUUGGGCGAGAGUAGUACUAGGAUGGGUGAUCCAUUGGGAAGUCCUCGUGUUACACCCC
RNAcentral lists this ribosomal RNA (119 nucleotides) under Olea europaea subsp. europaea. Lineage: Eukaryota; Viridiplantae; Streptophyta; Magnoliopsida; Lamiales; Oleaceae. The record is from RNAcentral.